GGGGAAUAUUGCACAAUGGAGGAAACUCUGAUGCAGCGACGCCGCGUGAAUGAUGAAGGCCUUCGGGCUGUAAAGUUCUGUCCUUGGGGAAGAUAAUGACGGUACCCAAGGAGGAAGCCCCGGCUAACUACGUGCCAGCAGCCGCGGUAAUACGUAGGGGGCGAGCGUUAUCCGGAAUUAUUGGGCGUAAAGGGUUCGCAGGCGGUCUGAUAAGUCAGAUGUGAAAGGCGUAGGCUUAACCUAUGUAAGCAUUUGAAACUGUCAGACUUGAGUUAAGGAGAGGAAAGUGGAAUUCCUAGUGUAGCGGUGAAAUGCGUAGAUAUUAGGAGGAAUACCAGUGGCGAAGGCGACUUUCUGGACUUAUACUGACGCUGAGGAACGAAAGCGUGGGGAGCAAACAG
This 401-nucleotide ribosomal RNA is filed under the name uncultured bacterium. RNAcentral's name for it is "bacterial SSU rRNA". It matches the Rfam family "Bacterial small subunit ribosomal RNA", at positions 356 to 775 of the family's 1533-position model. The record is from RNAcentral.